UGUUCCCAUGAGCAGGCUUCAGGACA
RNAcentral lists this non-coding RNA (26 nucleotides) under Homo sapiens (human). Lineage: Eukaryota; Metazoa; Chordata; Mammalia; Primates; Hominidae. The record is from RNAcentral.